Molecule: non-coding RNA, 280 nt
Organism: Pelobates cultripes (western spadefoot toad)
Lineage: Eukaryota; Metazoa; Chordata; Amphibia; Anura; Pelobatidae
Source: the annotation of a GenBank genome assembly
GGACAGCAUUGGAUGGGCUAAAAUUGGCAAGGGACGGGCCAAUCAGCACCGUUUUGGCCAACGUUUUGGCCAAUCAGCACCUCCUCAUAGCUCAUAGAGAUGCAUGUUUGAGUGGUGUGGGGAAUGGGUUGUAGUGUAUUUGUGUAGAGGGGAUAACGACUGUAGUGUGUGUGUUUAGGGACUGAGUACAGUUCAUGCUCCCUGGGCUCCCGGCAGUACCGAGGACUGGAUGGUGAGGGAGAUCCUCGAUUUCCAUGCUGGCUGCGAAACCCUCUCUCUG